Molecule: ribosomal RNA, 446 nt
Filed under: uncultured bacterium
Lineage: Bacteria
Description: partial 16S ribosomal RNA
Rfam family: Bacterial small subunit ribosomal RNA
Source: RNAcentral
CCAGACUCCUACGGGAGGCAGCAGUGGGGAAUAUUGCACAAUGGGGGGAACCCUGAUGCAGCGACGCCGCGUGGGUGAAGGAGCACCUCGGUGCGUAAAGCCCUAUCGGCAGGGAAGAAACAGACGGUACCUGACUAAGAAGCCCCGGCUGACUACGUGCCAGCAGCCGCGGGAAUACGUAGGGGGCAAGCGUUAUCCGGAUUUACUGGGUGUAAAGGGGGCGCAGACGGCAACGCAAGCCAGGAGUGAAGGCCCGGGGCCCAACCCCGGGACUGCUCUUGGAACUGCGCGGCUGGAGUGCAGGAGGGGCAGGCGGAAUUCCUGGUGUAGCGGUGAAAUGCGUAGAUAUUAGGAGGAACACCAGUGGCGAAGGCGGCCUACUGGACGGUGACUGCCGCUGAGGCUCGAAAGCGUGGGGAGCAAACAGGAUUAGAUACCCCUGUAUC